GACAAUAGUCAUGCCACCCUAAACAAGCCCGAUGUCUGAUCUCAGAAGUUAAGCUGGGUCGGGCCUGGUAAGCACUUGGAUGGGAGACCACCUAGGAAGACUGGGUGCUGUAGGCA
Molecule: ribosomal RNA, 116 nt
Filed under: Pteropus alecto (black flying fox)
Lineage: Eukaryota; Metazoa; Chordata; Mammalia; Chiroptera; Pteropodidae
Source: RNAcentral